AGUGAACGCUGGCGGUAGGCCUAACACAUGCAAGUCGAACGGCAGCACAGUAAGAGCUUGCUCUUACGGGUGGCGAGUGGCGGACGGGUGAGGAAUACAUCGGAAUCUACUUUUUCGUGGGGGAUAACGUAGGGAAACUUACGCUAAUACCGCAUACGACCUACGGGUGAAAGCAGGGGAUCUUCGGACCUUGCGCGAUUGAAUGAGCCGAUGUCGGAUUAGCUAGUUGGCGGGGUAAAGGCCCACCAAGGCGACGAUCCGUAGCUGGUCUGAGAGGAUGAUCAGCCACACUGGAACUGAGACACGGUCCAGACUCCCACGGGAGGCAGCAGUGGGGAAUUUUGGACAAUGGGCGCAAGCCUGAUCCAGCCAUACCGCGUGGGUGAAGAAGGCCUUCGGGUUGUAAAGCCCUUUUGUUGGGAAAGAAAAGCAGCAGGUUAAUACCCCGCUGUUCUGACGGUACCAAAAGAAUAAGCACCGGCUAACUUCGUG
Molecule: ribosomal RNA, 492 nt
Filed under: uncultured bacterium
Lineage: Bacteria
Description: partial 16S ribosomal RNA
Rfam family: Bacterial small subunit ribosomal RNA
Source: RNAcentral